The sequence is a transfer RNA, 73 nucleotides long. It matches the Rfam family "tRNA". From Rfam's summary of the family: Transfer RNA (tRNA) molecules are approximately 80 nucleotides in length. The record is from Rfam.
UCCCUGGUAGCUCAAUCGGCAGAGCGGGUGACUGUUAAUCACUAGGUUGGCGGUUCAAGUCCGUCCCGGGGAG